This 253-nucleotide ribosomal RNA is filed under the name uncultured bacterium. Its description in RNAcentral is "partial 16S ribosomal RNA". It matches the Rfam family "Bacterial small subunit ribosomal RNA", at positions 524 to 776 of the family's 1533-position model. The record is from RNAcentral.
GACGUACCACCCAAACGUUAUUCGGAUUCACUGGGCUUACAGAGUCCGUAGGCGGUCGAGAAAGUUGGAUGUGAAAUACCUCAGCUCAACUGAGGAAUUGCGUUCAAAACUACUUGGCUAGAGAGAUACAGAGGUGAGCGGAACUGAUGGUGGAGCGGUGAAAUGCGUUGAUAUCAUCAGGAACACCGGUGGCGAAGACGGGUGACUGGGCUGGUUCUGACACUGAGGCACGAAAGCGUGGGGAGCGAACGGG